Molecule: unclassified non-coding RNA, 673 nt
Filed under: Hevea brasiliensis (rubber tree)
Lineage: Eukaryota; Viridiplantae; Streptophyta; Magnoliopsida; Malpighiales; Euphorbiaceae
Source: RNAcentral
GUUUCUUUGGCAAGUUGUAUUUCUUCUUUAGAAACUUAGAAGCAAUUUUAUCAUUUCGAUAACACAGAACACGCAUAAUGGUGCUGAGCUCAGUUGGACUCCAGUUACCUGAUGUAGGAGGCAAGGGAAGUCUGGAUUUAGCUGAAGUGCCAAAAUUAUCUUCAGUGGCAUGUUCAAGUUGCUCAAUCAGAAUAGCGGUAUCAGUAUGGAAAAGAGGAAGAAUGCCUUUCAAAGUAGCUGAAUACUUGUCUAUAAGGUCAGUCGGUAACCCAUCCCCAUCAGACCAGAAUAGAUCCAUUAGGAACUUUAAAUCUUCAUCUAUAAUUGCAGCAUCAGCAAGUGAAAAAGCACGACAAGGUCCUCCAGCCAACAAAAUCAACAAGAAUCCAUCAAAAGAGGCUUUCAUUACAUUAGUGAUAGCACGUGUCCGGACCCUGUCAUGAACUGUUGCCGAUAUGAUCUCAAGGUUAUUCUCCAGCUCCUGGAGGAAAGGUUCAAUCCGGGAUGAUGAAACAUCUGCUACAUAUAGAUAAUCCCAGAAGAUAUGCCUCAACUCAUGGAAGAUGAUUUUAUAUGAAAUUGCUUCAGAAAGCUGCUGGAUCCCUUCCAAACAAGAAGCUACUGACAGCUCAAAACAUUUGCCCAACCCAUCAACAAUAUUAUCAUCAUGAAC